Long non-coding RNA from Formica exsecta, 869 nucleotides. RefSeq lists it as uncharacterized. The transcript is spliced from 4 exons. Lineage: Eukaryota; Metazoa; Arthropoda; Insecta; Hymenoptera; Formicidae. The record is from RefSeq and is a predicted model, not a curated record.
UUUAUGCAAAACGCAUUGUUAACAACAAUAUAUUUUAUAUGAAUAGUUAAUGUGGACAGAGAUACAAAAAAUAUGUUGGUAAAUGUUGUUUAUCUAAAUAGUAGAUGGCUGAACUCAACUCAUAAAAAAAAAUUAGUGAGACGCAAGUUUUAUAUUUCUUCAUCAAUAAUGUAUUUUGUUCCAAAUUUGAAGAUUGUUGUAAAUUUGAAAAAUCGACAUUUAUUCAUGGUGAAAUACCACAUUGGAAUGCCAAGUUCAUUGAAAUUCCAUUUUUGGAUAACAACGUUACAAUGACUGUAUUUUUGCCAAAUAAAAAUUUGGAACCUGGAAAUCUGGAGUACCUGAGAAAAAAGCAUAACUUUUCAGAAUUUCAAUCAGUUAGAACUACAUACACAAACAAAUUUGAGCAAGAUACGGAAUUAUAUUUAUCUAAGUUUAUGACUGCAUAUCAUGAAAAUAUGACAGAUUUUUUCCGUAAAAAAUUAAAACUGAUAAUUGCUUGUAAAUGGGCGUUACUACGAUGUUCGGAGAUAAUGCGGAUUUUACACGUCUCUCAGAAAUUCCUUUAAAAGUGAACAAUAUUGUUCAAACAGUUUCCGUGAAGAUUAACGAAGGAAGUUCGGAAGUACCAGAUGGAUACAUCUUUGACAGAAGCGAAGUAAGAGAACCGGUAGGUCCACGGCAAGAGUUGGUCGUAGAUCGUCCGUUUCAUUACUUUAUCGAAGUGUACAAAGAGAUAAUGUUUGCUGGAACCGUGCGAGCACCAGAAUUUAUAUUUCUGAAAAAUGAAUUAUAAAUUCUAUUACAUUCUUGUAUUUAUUGAAAGUUUAUAUCGCACAAUGUAUCUACAGCUUAAAUUUUUUAAAAUU